UGGGGGAUAUUGCACGAAUGGGGGAAACCCUGAUGCAGCGACGCCGCGUGUGGGAAGACGGUCCUCUGGAAUUGUAAACCACUGUCCCCAGGGACGAAGAUGACGGUACCUGGGGAGGAAGCUCCGGCUAACUACGUGCC
This 140-nucleotide ribosomal RNA is filed under the name uncultured bacterium. RNAcentral describes it as "partial 16S ribosomal RNA". It matches the Rfam family "Bacterial small subunit ribosomal RNA", at positions 355 to 509 of the family's 1533-position model. The record is from RNAcentral.